Molecule: ribosomal RNA, 253 nt
Filed under: uncultured prokaryote
Description: partial 16S ribosomal RNA
Rfam family: Bacterial small subunit ribosomal RNA
Source: RNAcentral
UACGAAGGGAGCUAGCGUUGUUCGGAAUUACUGGGCGUAAAGGGCGCGUAGGCGGUUUGACAAGUCGGAUGUGAAAGCCCUGGGCUCAACCCGGGAAUUGCAUUCGAUACUGUUUUACUUGAAUUCGGUAGAGGUUGGUAGAAUUCCCAGUGUAGAGGUGAAAUUCGUAGAGAUUGGGAAGAAUACCCGUGGCGAAGGCGGCCAACUGGACCGACAUUGACGCUGAGGCGCGAAAGCGUGGGUAGCAAACAGG